UGGGGAAUAUUGGACAAUGGGCGCAAGCCUGCUCCAGCCAUGCCGCGUGAGUGAUGAAGGCCCUAGGGUUGUAAAGCUCUUUCACCGGUGAAGAUAAUGACGGUAACCGGAGAAGAAGCCCGGGCUAACUUCGUGCCAGCAGCCGCGGUAAUACGAAGGGGGCUAGCGUUGUUCGGAUUUACUGGGCGUAAAGCGCACGUAGGCGGACUUUUAAGUCAGGGGUGAAAUCCCGGGGCUCAACCCCGGAACUGCCUUUGAUACUGGGAGUCUUGAGUAUGGUAGAGGUGAGUGGAAUUCCGCGUGUAGAGGUGAAAUUCGUAGAUAUUCGGAGGAACACCAGUGGCGAAGGCGGCUCACUGGACCAUUACUGACGCUGAGGUGCGAAAGCGUGGGGAGCAAACAGG
RNAcentral lists this ribosomal RNA (404 nucleotides) under Actinomycetes bacterium. RNAcentral describes it as "Actinobacteria bacterium partial 16S ribosomal RNA". It matches the Rfam family "Bacterial small subunit ribosomal RNA", at positions 355 to 776 of the family's 1533-position model. Lineage: Bacteria; Bacillati; Actinomycetota; Actinomycetes. The record is from RNAcentral.